AUUGAACGCUGGCGGCAUGCCUUACACAUGCAAGUCGAACGGUAACACACCGCAAGCUGCUGACUAGUGGCGACCGGGUGAGUACUGCAUCGGAACGUGCCCAGUCGUGGUUUUUAACUACUCGAAAGAGUAGCUAAUACCCCCUACUACCUAUUACGCAAUACGGGUGACCGUAAGGCCUCGCCCGAUUUGACCGGCCGAUGUCAGACUAGGUAGUUGGCGGGGUAAAGGCUCACCAAGCCCACGAUCUGUAGCUGGUCUGAGAGGAUAACCAGCCACACUGGAACUGAGACACGGCCCAGACUCCUACGGGAGGCAGCAGUGGGGAAUUUUGGACAAUGGGCGCAAGCCUGAUCCAGCAGUGCCGCGUGCAGGAAGAAGGCCUUCGGGUUGUAAACUGCUUUUGUACGGAACGAAACGGAUCUGGUUAAUACCCGGGGCUAAUGACGGUACCGAAAGAAUAAGCACCGGCUAACUACGUG
Molecule: ribosomal RNA, 482 nt
Filed under: uncultured bacterium
Lineage: Bacteria
Description: partial 16S ribosomal RNA
Rfam family: Bacterial small subunit ribosomal RNA
Source: RNAcentral